This is a non-coding RNA of Miniopterus natalensis, 1102 nucleotides long. NCBI's taxonomy places the organism in Eukaryota, Metazoa, Chordata, Mammalia, Chiroptera, Miniopteridae. The record is from RefSeq and is a predicted model, not a curated record.
AAUAUUUUGAACAUUUUUUUAAAAUUCUUUUUUAUUGUUAAUUUUGUUUUGCACUGUAAAACUGAUUAAAAAUUUAAGCCGGUCUUAAUACACUUCUGUAUUAUAAGGAAGUGUAAGAAGGAAUUUCUUAAUAAAUGUGUUUCCAUGUUUAAAUCAAGCAUAUUGAAAGUAAUAUGCCAUGUGUUGAAGGCUUUUCUAUUUGUAUAACGAUUCAUGGUAUUUUUUUUUAUGUCAUUGUGUUGCAAUAAUUUAACUCAUUUGACUUGCUAAAAAUAUUUUGUCUAUUAAGAAUUACGGUUUAUUUUAUUAUUCAUUAAUCUAACUAUGCUGUGUUUUAAAUGAAUCAUGAAUAAGAAUAGUUCUUUAUUCUGUCAUUUAAAAUUGUCCUGUAAGAGAAUAAGAAGCUAUAAAUAUUAGCUAAUCUAGUUGCCAAGUUGGGAUUCAUUAUUUAAUUUACCUCCUAUGCAAUGAUUAAUGCUGCAAAAUGUAUGGUUAUGUUAUUAUAGUAUAUUCACAAAAGAAAUAUCACAAGGUUUGAGAGGUGGCCUAUUGCAUUCUUUCAGAAAUUUACUGUAUGUUUCAAUGUGUUAAGUGCCUUGUUGUAAAGUAAAAUUUUAAGCCUAGAAUGCAUUAUUUUCCUGACAUAUAUUUUUCAUUAUGAUAUAUACUGUAUGUUAUUGUAAUAGUUUUAUUAAAUGCUUAUGUUUUAAUCAAAUAUGUGAAUUUCAGAAGCUCUUUUCUCCUACCCAUAAGUACCUUAAUCAUUGGUCUAUCAUAUGGGAUUUGAAUUCAGGAUCUUUUUUUUAAGAGAGGAAAUUAUCUUUGUUUAGAAGUAUGUUUUCCAUGCUUGUGCUUUUGUGUUUGUAAAAAACAUUUCAGGAGGAAUUUAGGAGUGUAACUAUAGUUUGUACUUCAAAAUGUUGUUUUACAUUUACAUUUUAAGUGCCUAAUUGUUAGUUAAAACUAAUUUAUGUUUUUAUUCUAAAGAGAAUAUAUGUACUUGGUUUCUAAUCUCUUUGGCUUUGCUUUAAAAAAAAGCAAGAGCCUCUACUUUGUAUUUACCCAAUAAACCACCGUGACAUCAACAGUUUUUUCAAAAUCA